Molecule: long non-coding RNA, 592 nt
Organism: Schistocerca cancellata (South American locust)
Lineage: Eukaryota; Metazoa; Arthropoda; Insecta; Orthoptera; Acrididae
Exons: 2
Source: RefSeq, a predicted model, not a curated record
AUAUGUUAUAUUACAGCUGUAAGCACUGCACAAUUUUCACAAAGGUAUGUGUGCGCUGGCGUACAUAUCGCAAAACGAAACAAAUGAAAAAUGUGGUGGAAGAUCUUUGACAGAUUACGCUUUGGAGAAAUCAAUGAUCAGUGAGCGAAUGUCACAAAAGGCAGAUAAGGGAUGGAUAUAGAAGACACUCCUGGUGGAAGUGUAAAGUUGUAAGCUCGUCUUUCUGAGCAGUAGUGAAUACUAUCUACUGCCCAAAGGACGAAUUUACAAGUUUAUACUGCAAGGUACAUCUAGUAUGCCACAAUCAGGUUGACUCAUCUGGUGCAGUCCAUAAAUGAAGAUACUGCAGCAAGUAGCAUUUUUUAUUUUCCAUAAGCAGGACCAUUAUUUAGAACAUGGAAGUUAGACAGAUUCAAGAUAGCAGUAGUGUAGUAACUGAGUAGUCGGGUUGUCAUCUUUGUUAUGAGUGUACUAUGUGGUAGUUGUAUAAGUGACCUUUCUUAAAAUUGUCCUUAACUGUAAGUCUCCUUAAACUGAUUACACACACACACACACACACACACACACACACACACACACACACACACACACA